ACACGACUACAUUAGAUACCCCUGUAGUCCCAGCCCUAAACGAUGCGCGUUAGGUGUAUCGGUGACCACGAGUCACCGAGGUGCCGAAGGGAAACCGUGAAACGUGCCGCCUGGGAAGUACGGUCGCAAGGCUGAAACUUAAAGGAACUUGGCGGGGGAGCACCACAACGGGUGGAGCUUGCGGUUUAAUUGGAUUCAACGCCGGAAAUCUUACCGGGACCGACAGCAACAUGAAGGCCAGGCUGAAGACUUUGCCGGAUUUAGCUG
This 267-nucleotide ribosomal RNA is filed under the name uncultured archaeon. RNAcentral describes it as "partial 16S ribosomal RNA". It matches the Rfam family "Archaeal small subunit ribosomal RNA", at positions 717 to 982 of the family's 1478-position model. The record is from RNAcentral.